RNAcentral lists this ribosomal RNA (497 nucleotides) under uncultured bacterium. RNAcentral's name for it is "partial 16S ribosomal RNA". It matches the Rfam family "Bacterial small subunit ribosomal RNA", at positions 28 to 507 of the family's 1533-position model. The record is from RNAcentral.
GAUGAACGCUGGCGGCGUGCCUAAUACAUGCAAGUCGAGCGAACAGAUAAGGAGCUUGCUCCUUUGACGUUAGCGGCGGACGGGUGAGUAACACGUGGGUAACCUACCUAUAAGACUGGGAUAACUUCGGGAAACCGGAGCUAAUACCGGAUAACAUUUGGAACCGCAUGGUUCUAAAGUGAGAGAUGGUUUUGCUAUCACUUAUAGAUGGACCCGCGCCGUAUUAGCUAGUUGGUAAGGUAACGGCUUACCAAGGCGACGAUACGUAGCCGACCUGAGAGGGUGAUCGGCCACACUGGCACUGAGACACGGUCCAGACUCCUACGGGAGGCAGCAGUAGGGAAUCUUCCGCAAUGGGCGAAAGCCUGACGGAGCAACGCCGCGUGAGUGAUGAAGGGUUUCGGCUCGUAAAACUCUGUUAUUAGGGAAGAACAAAUGUGUAAGUAACUGUGCACGUCCUGACGGUACCUAAUCAGAAAGCCACGGCUAACUACGUG